GUUCGGUUUCUGCGUCCUCUUGGGGAAGGAUUCUGUGCUUGAUUGCAUGGGUUCUGAUUCAAGACUUUUACUUUGAGGAAAUUAGAGUGUUCACUGCAAGCAAUCGCUUUGAAUACAUUAGCAUGGAAUAAUAAUAUAGGGCUAUAGCUUUAUUUUGUUGGUUUCUAGGGCAAUAGCAAUGAUUAAUAGGGAUAAUUGGGGGUAUUCGUAUUAACACGUCAGAGGUGGAAUUCUUAGAUUGUGUUACGACGAACUACUGCGAAAGCAUUUACCAAGGGUGUUUUCAUUGAUCAAGAACGAAAGUAUGGGGAUCGAAGACGAUUAGAUACCGUCGUAGUCUAUACCAUAAACUAUGCCGACUAGGGAUUGAAGGUCGUUCUCUUUAUGACUCCUUCAGCAUCUCAUGAGAAAUCAAAGUUUUUGGGUUCCGGGGGGAGUAUGGUCGCAAGGCUGAAACUUAAAGGAAUUGACGGAAGGGCACCACCAGGAGUGGAGCCUGCGGCUUAAUUUGACUCA
This 516-nucleotide ribosomal RNA is filed under the name uncultured marine eukaryote. RNAcentral describes it as "SSU rRNA". It matches the Rfam family "Eukaryotic small subunit ribosomal RNA", at positions 685 to 1202 of the family's 1831-position model. The record is from RNAcentral.